RNAcentral lists this ribosomal RNA (443 nucleotides) under uncultured bacterium. RNAcentral's name for it is "partial 16S ribosomal RNA". It matches the Rfam family "Bacterial small subunit ribosomal RNA", at positions 338 to 795 of the family's 1533-position model. The record is from RNAcentral.
CCUACGGGUGGCAGCAGUGGGGAAUAUUGGGCAAUGGGCGCAAGCCUGACCCAGCAACGCCGCGUGAAGGAAGAAGGCUUUCGGGUUGUAAACUUCUUUUCUCAGGGACGAAGCAAGUGACGGUACCUGAGGAAUAAGCCACGGCUAACUACGUGCCAGCAGCCGCGGUAAUACGUAGGUGGCAAGCGUUAUCCGGAUUUACUGGGUGUAAAGGGCGUGUAGGCGGGACUGCAAGUCAGAUGUGAAAACCACGGGCUGAACCUGUGGCCUGCAUUUGAAACUGUAGUUCUUGAGUACUGGAGAGGCAGACGGAAUUCCUAGUGUAGCGGUGAAAUGCGUAGAUAUUAGGAGGAACACCAGUGGCGAAGGCGGCUUACUGGACUGUAACUGACGUUGAGGCUCGAAAGCGUGGGGAGCAAACAGGAUUAGAUACCCCAGUAGUC